UAUGAGAGUUUGAUCCUGGCUCAGGACGAACGCUGGCGGCGUGCCUAAUACAUGCAAGUCGUACGCUUCUUUUUCCACCGGAGCUUGCUCCACCGGAAAAAGAAGAGUGGCGAACGGGUGAGUAACACGUGGGUAACCUGCCCAUCAGAAGGGGAUAACACUUGGAAACAGGUGCUAAUACCGUAUAACAAUCGAAACCGCAUGGUUUUGAUUUGAAAGGCGCUUUCGGGUGUCGCUGAUGGAUGGACCCGCGGUGCAUUAGCUAGUUGGUGAGGUAACGGCUCACCAAGGCCACGAUGCAUAGCCGACCUGAGAGGGUGAUCGGCCACAUUGGGACUGAGACACGGCCCAAACUCCUACGGGAGGCAGCAGUAGGGAAUCUUCGGCAAUGGACGAAAGUCUGACCGAGCAACGCCGCGUGAGUGAAGAAGGUUUUCGGAUCGUAAAACUCUGUUGUUAGAGAAGAACAAGGAUGAGAGUAACUGUUCAUCCCUUGACGGUAUCUAACCAGAAAGCCACGGCUAACUACGUGCCAGCAGCCGCGGUAAUACGUAGGUGGCAAGCGUUGUCCGGAUUUAUUGGGCGUAAAGCGAGCGCAGGCGGUUUCUUAAGUCUGAUGUGAAAGCCCCCGGCUCAACCGGGGAGGGUCAUUGGAAACUGGGAGACUUGAGUGCAGAAGAGGAGAGUGGAAUUCCAUGUGUAGCGGUGAAAUGCGUAGAUAUAUGGAGGAACACCAGUGGCGAAGGCGGCUCUCUGGUCUGUAACUGACGCUGAGGCUCGAAAGCGUGGGGAGCAAACAGGAUUAGAUACCCUGGUAGUCCACGCCGUAAACGAUGAGUGCUAAGUGUUGGAGGGUUUCCGCCCUUCAGUGCUGCAGCUAACGCAUUAAGCACUCCGCCUGGGGAGUACGACCGCAAGGUUGAAACUCAAAGGAAUUGACGGGGGCCCGCACAAGCGGUGGAGCAUGUGGUUUAAUUCGAAGCAACGCGAAGAACCUUACCAGGUCUUGACAUCCUUUGACCACUCUAGAGAUAGAGCUUCCCCUUCGGGGGCAAAGUGACAGGUGGUGCAUGGUUGUCGUCAGCUCGUGUCGUGAGAUGUUGGGUUAAGUCCCGCAACGAGCGCAACCCUUAUUGUUAGUUGCCAUCAUUUAGUUGGGCACUCUAGCAAGACUGCCGGUGACAAACCGGAGGAAGGUGGGGAUGACGUCAAAUCAUCAUGCCCCUUAUGACCUGGGCUACACACGUGCUACAAUGGGAAGUACAACGAGUCGCGAAGUCGCGAGGCUAAGCUAAUCUCUUAAAGCUUCUCUCAGUUCGGAUUGUAGGCUGCAACUCGCCUACAUGAAGCCGGAAUCGCUAGUAAUCGCGGAUCAGCACGCCGCGGUGAAUACGUUCCCGGGCCUUGUACACACCGCCCGUCACACCACGAGAGUUUGUAACACCCGAAGUCGGUGAGGUAACCUUUUGGAGCCAGCCGCCUAAGGUGGGAUAGAUGAUUGGGGUGAAGUCGUAACAAGGUAGCCGUAUCGGAAGGUGCGGCUGGAUCACCUCCUUUCUAAGGAA
This 1565-nucleotide ribosomal RNA is filed under the name Enterococcus durans. RNAcentral describes it as "bacterial SSU rRNA". It matches the Rfam family "Bacterial small subunit ribosomal RNA". The record is from RNAcentral. Lineage: Bacteria; Bacillati; Bacillota; Bacilli; Lactobacillales; Enterococcaceae.